Drosophila ananassae is the source of this 487-nucleotide long non-coding RNA. RefSeq lists it as uncharacterized. Lineage: Eukaryota; Metazoa; Arthropoda; Insecta; Diptera; Drosophilidae. The record is from RefSeq and is a predicted model, not a curated record. The transcript has 2 exons.
UAAGAUUAAGACACUUUAAUUUGCAUCAUUCUUCUUCUUGAAUGUAUUUCCAAGAACCAGAAAUUAAAAAGAAAAUUCUACCAAACAAAGCGGCAAAAAUAUAAUUUUUGCGAUAAAAACAGAUAAGAAAUAGCUUUUCAAGCGGAGGUUAAGCUGCCGCCCUUUGCCACGCCCUCUAUUGUUGCCCCCACAAACAAAGAGAGAAGGCCAUCGUCCCGAAAUGACAACACAAACGCCUCACAAAUAAUCGUUUAGCUCGCCCAUUAGCAUAUUUAAUUGUUGAGAAAAUUACCCAAAUAUAAUCCGGCGGGCACUACCGAGUCCAGAACUCCCAAUUCCGGCGGAAAACAGCCCAAAAAGUGGCGGAAAAGCGCGGUUGAUCCCGCGACCCGGAAUGAGAAGAGACCGCAAGAAAAGUCGCGAAGAAAAAGGAAAAGCAACAGAGCCAAAGGGUUAAAAUGCAAAUGAAGAAAGACCAAAGGUCCCA